RNAcentral lists this long non-coding RNA (344 nucleotides) under Bos taurus (domestic cattle). RNAcentral's name for it is "long non-coding RNA NONBTAT025042". The record is from RNAcentral. Lineage: Eukaryota; Metazoa; Chordata; Mammalia; Artiodactyla; Bovidae.
CUGUUACCAAAUAUUUUAUCUGUAUGAGCAGAGAAUUUUACAGACAACUUCAAGUAAUGAGGAUAGUGAUUGUUAUUUGAAUAGGUUCAGGGCUUUUUUAAUCAUGGAAAAAAUAGAGAACUAAAAACAUACUUCAGGAAUUAUAGCAUCAAACCAGUUUCUGGUCUUUUAUGUUAAUGAGAAACUGCAGCUCUCUGUUUGCUGAUCCCUUACUAGACUUAUUCUGAAAGAGAGCAUAAUCUUCUUUGUAAAAGCAAACAUGUUCAGUUUUUGAAAGUAUAGAAAUCUAAGAGAGAUGAGAAGGACAUAAAAAUGGCAGCUCCUAAAAGAGACAAGGUCCAGAG